This 2506-nucleotide long non-coding RNA is filed under the name Sus scrofa (pig). RNAcentral describes it as "lncRNA (ENSSSCG00040067187.1)". Lineage: Eukaryota; Metazoa; Chordata; Mammalia; Artiodactyla; Suidae. The record is from RNAcentral.
GGAUAUGGUAAAUAACCUUAUUAAGAAUGUGGUUUAGGAGUUCCCGUCGUGGCGCAGUGGUUAACGAAUCCGACUAGGAACUAUGAGGUUGCGGGUUCGGUCCCUGCCCUUGCUCGGUGGGUUAAGGAUCCGGCGUUGCCGUGAGCUGUGGUGUAGGUUGCAGACGCGGCUCGGANNNNNNNNNNNNNNNNNNNNNNNNNNNNNNNNNNNNNNNAAAAAAAAAAAAAAAAAAAAAAGAAUGUGGUUUAAAGAUAAGAGUGUUUGGAGAAGUGGAAUGGAUAUGAUUGGAAGAACAGAAUUUAGAAAUAAUCAGUAUAUUUUUACAACCUCAAAUUCAGACAGAUCAACUGGCAAGGUAAGAAAAUAUGGGGUUUUUAUAUUUUCAUAAAAAAAUAGUCAAGCAAUAUCUUAGAGCCCAUAUACUAAUUGACAGCAAAAUAAUCAUGAAUACUAAGAGGAGCAAUUUGGAGAAAAUUUAUGGGUUUUGGAAGACAUGGAACCUUUCAAAGGAAGCAUUUGCUUCAGGCUGUGAUCUGCUAAUUAAUUUUCAGAAAUGCAACAAGAAACUAAAUAGCCACCUAAGUCUCUUUCUACGUUUAUGAGAAAGAAGCUAGUAUGGAAACAAGAAGCUUAUAGAGGAGAAUUUUUUUCAAGAAAUCAAGUUCUAAAACUAUUUUUAGAGCGACUACCUUUAUAGUCCUACUUCUAGAUCACCUACUUUGGAGUCUCAGGAUUUGGGUUUUUACUGAUAUUAUCAAAUGUUUGCUUCCCUGCAGUAUUAGAAAGUAAAAAGGAAUUGUUUUUACCAAAUUUUUUUAAAAAGCAAUGAUGAAAAUAUGGAUGAUGAUUUCCUUUUUGCAUUUUUCUGAUUUUUAAAAUUUCUAAAACAAUAUAAAUGUAAAAAUGAUCUAUGAAAUACAUCUGUGGUCUUUGCACAUCAUAUUGUAGGUAGCCAUAAUUUUUCAGGGUCUAUAAGAUUGAAUUAAGAUAGUGUAUUGUUUUUGAGUUUUGUGUUGAUAUUUUUGUUUUUACUUAUAACAGUGAUGCUGGAAGUAGCGGUGAACGUGAUAUUGCUGAAGGCUGUUUCCAGGCCCCCUAUGCCUUAAAAACCUCAAUUAAGUCCAAUUUCAUCAGAGAGUUCUUCUGCUCUAAGCAUACUCUUCACCUGGGAGCGAAAGGGACUUCAGAUCUGGAGCUCUUCUUUCUCCCCUUUGGCAUGCACACACGCUACUGUGUCAUCAUCCUCAGCAACAAAAAGGUGAGGACGGAAUUACAUGUGUGCUUUCAUCAAGGGCUGCCACUGUAAUGGAAUAACCAGUAUAGGUCAUUUGACAGCAGCUAAAGACUCUGGGAAUAUAGCUAACAAUUUCAGCCCUCUAGUUGAUAAACAAAGAGCUUAUCCUCAAGAAUAAGCAAAGAUUUAUACUACCUGUCUGCAAAUUUUAUAAUGGCUGGAUAAGGAAGUCCCAUGGGAGCAGAAUGGAGGCAUUCCUAACCUGCCAGUACCUUAUCUAUAUCGUCAUCUAUGGUCAUAUAACAAGUUACCAAAUACUGCUCCUCUUAAAACAAUAUGUAUUUAUCAUGUCACGUUUUCUAUGGAUCACAGGUCUAGGUGGGCCCUCUGGUUUAGGUCUAGCAAGUCUUCAAUUCACUGAUUGGCCAGUGCUGUGUUCUCCUCGGAGGUUAAGCUGAAGAAGUGGCUGCUUCUAAGCUUUCUCAAGUUGUUGGCGGAAUUAAUUUUCUAGCUCUGGGAUCCAUGCAUCUUACUUCUCUAAAGCCAGCGAAGGUGAAAAACAGAAGAGGAGGGAGGGGAGAGGAGGUGGGGGCAGAGAGAGAGAGACAGAGAGAGAGAGAAAGAAAGAAGAGAGGAUUUAGAGGAAAAGUUUUAUGGUAUUCUUCUCUUUGAAAAAGACACUGCCAUGUCUUGACCUGAGGGAACUUAUGACCCAUGGGAGAUUGCCCCAAAUGUGUGUUAUGUAUCAAUUAUGCACUAUAUAGAAUGCAUAACAAUGAAAUAAUGGUGAUUGGGAGUUCUCAUCGUGGCUCAGCGGUAACGAACACAACUAGGAUCCAUGAGGAUGUGGGAUCAAUCUCUGGCCUCGGUCAGUGGGGUAAGGAUCUGGCAUUGCCGUGAGCUGUGGUGUAGGUUGCAGGCGUGACUCAGAUCUGGUGUUGCUGUGGCCGUGGUGUAGGCUGGCAGCUGCAGUUCCAAUUAGACCCCUAGCCUGGGAACCUCCACAUGCUGCAAGUGCGGUCCUAAAAAGAAAAAAAAAAAAAAAGUAAUUGGAAAGAGGUAUUAUAUUGACUUAUCUGUAGGAUCCUUUACACAUGAAAAAUAGUAUAGCCUAUUAAAUAUGUAAGGAAUAGUUUUACACUGAGAAUUACCAUUUCAGGUGAAAAAUGCUACUUUAUCGUAAUAUCGAACCUUGUUUUUCAUUUCUCUUGAAAGAGUUUAGGUUUUAGCUGAAUUCCUCUAUAUGAAAAUUUGUAAAAAAAAAAAAAAAAA